UGCAUAAUGUCUUGCUCAAUUCUAAGAACUUCAUCUUUCAGUUGUUUUUGGGAAGAUUCCCUUGCCUCUAGAUCCUUUUGUAAAUUGUCUAAUUGCUCUCCUAGCCUCNAUCACAUGAUCCUCAUGCUCUUUUAAUGAACUAUUCUUCAUAUCUAAUUCUUUUCUCAGUGCUAAACACUGAAGCUGAGCUGAUUGAGCUGAUGC
RNAcentral lists this unclassified non-coding RNA (204 nucleotides) under Hevea brasiliensis (rubber tree). Lineage: Eukaryota; Viridiplantae; Streptophyta; Magnoliopsida; Malpighiales; Euphorbiaceae. The record is from RNAcentral.